UUCCUCACUCAAAGCACCGGGAGGGGAGGGGGAUCGCGGCAUGAUAGAGUGGAUGAUCACUUUCCCCGCGCUGUGUGUGUGUCCGUGUGUGUGUGUCGUGGCCAGAAAACUCGAGACAAAUUCCGGCACAUUGAAAAAAAAUAUUUUUUAUUGCCACUAUACACCGUGCUACAUGAUGCUUAGAAGGUCGUUGAAGCAUCAAACAUGUUCAAAUUAAAAAAUAUUAGAUUAGUGUUAGACGUUCUCCUACGCUUGUUUGAAAUAGGCUUCUUCACCCUCAAUUGGCAGGGGCAUCGAAUGGUCUCAUCAGCAGCGGCACGAAAUAAAAUAAACCAUCAAUACACCGAUAACACUUUAAAUCCCAAAAUGAACCAGCUUCUCCCGCAUCGUCAAGGUCGUCACACAAUAAAUAAAUGCUAUACCCACCAAAUACAAUACACAACCGCAAUGUACAUAUAUACCAACGCAUACACACAAUCAGCUGGCGGUGGAAGGCACGGGCUGAAGCGCAAGUAAGGCAAGGCAGGGAGGGGAAUGGGAGUGAGAGGAAGAGGAGGAAGGAAUGUGGGCGGCCAAUAUUUUUGAAUUUUUCGACCGUUUUUUUUGCUCCGCCGUCUGAAAUAGUUCAUCCAUUCCUUCAGCAGAUGGCGCUCGUUCCGCACCUAAAAACUGCAAGAAAUACGCCGGCUAUCGUAGUUUUGGCUGAAGUCUAGCGUAUUUUUUUGCGUAUUUUUUGACGCAAAACUACGCAAAAAACUACGCAGAAAACUGCUCGAAUUUGCGCAGCGGGUAGUAUCACCGUGGACUGCAGAAAACUACCUGCACUAGAACAGAGCGCUGGUAUGGUCAAAUGUGUGCAUGUGUGUACUUGCUCCACUGAAAGCCGGUAUCGCACCAGAUUUCGGGUGUCGCCUUCCCAACCAGCAAAACCGAAGCUAUUGGAAAACUUUCCUGUGUGCCAAAGCGAGAGAGCAUGUCUUCUUUCUCUAGAUUUUGGACGGCACAACGCCGAUCGUGUGGUCUAUGAACGAAAAACGGGAGAAGGGGAAACCGAUAUCCUUCGAGUGACACACAUGCAUGCAUCUGCAUGCGUAUUCCGCUGAACCGAGACUACACAUCUCUCUCGAUCUCCCAUGAUUUUUCUGCUAUCGCGCUCAUCCGGGUGUUAGGCAUCCUCAGUCUGUCCAGAACUUUCACUGUGGAAGGAUGUGUUGGAGUGAUGUGUGAUUUCUUGUGCCCCGUACUUUGCUCAUUUACGUUUUGUGCCGUGUUCCUUUUUCUUCAAUUAUGGAAUGAUUUAUCCUUAUAAAUUUCUAAGGUAAGUUUCUUAUCCUCGUUUGUGCUUCAAUGGAUACAUUCAACUAACUCUUGUCGUCUAAAAAGUUACAAGUGCACGCGCAUGUUAAUCGACGGUUGCCAACAUCCCGCAAAUCGAUCGAAAGAAGGAAAACGGUGUCCGGUUUUAAAAUAUAAAGAUUUCAUUACAGCUCUUUCGUAGAAGAGCGCACUUCAAUGACGCCUAGGAUACGGCUAAACAUGCGCAGCACCAGUCCGUGACGUCAUUUCCAGACAGGCGCCAGCUGAACACGCGCAGCACCAGUCGAGGAUAUCCUAGCGCAGAGGGUAGAAGGAAGAACGAGAGGAAGGGUAAUAGAAAGCAACCGCAGCAUUUGGAAGGGGUGAAGCAUCCUGCCGUAUACAGAGUGUGAGUGUGCCAAAACGCAUGUGGAAAGAGUAACACCAAUAAAUAGCAUGCGAAAGUGUGCAUAAAGCAAAAAGAAAAAGCGUCACUACUACAACCAGCAAUCCGAAAAUAUAAGGGGAGGGAUAAAUACAAAUGUAUGCGUAAGCAGGACCAGCAAUCCAAGCAUUUGAAUGUGUGCGUCGGUUUGUGCCGUACUGAAAGUUUUUACUUUAGCUGCUGCUAGUGUAAAAACGUAAGGAAAGCUUAAAGUAAAAAUUUUUUACACGGGGCGCCUUCGGAAAUUGUUGGCUGGGUUGUGCGUGUGGGUGUGUUAUUGUCACAGCACACUCGUUCGUCAUUUUUUUUCGUUUUUUCGCUUGAGCCACUCGAUUUCGUUCUUCGCUGAUUUUGGCACCCAACAGUCAAAAGCCGAAGAUUUUAUAUUGACCUUUCGUUUUUUCUAUCUGUCUCUCGCUCUAAUUUGAGUGAUUUUCCCUUCGUGAGUAUCCACGAGCUCCCUCGUGUGGUUGUUGUUGUUGGAAGUUGAAACCGAACCCCCUUCGUGCGCUGCCAAAAUCAGCGAAGAACGAAAUCGAGUGGCUCAAGCGAAAAAACGAAAAAAAAAAAUGACGAACGAGUGUGCUGUGACAAUAACACACACACACGCACAAGGCGACACCCGAAAUCUGGUGCGAUACCGGCUUUCAGUGGAGCAAGUACACACAUGCACACAUUUGGCCACACCAGCGCUCUGUUCUAGUGCAGGCAGUUUUCUGCAGUCCACGGUGAUACUACACACAGCCACGCACUUGGUGAUACACGCUGUGUGGUGCGGUGCGGUGGACGUUCAGAAUUCAAUGGUGCAAAUACACACAUGCAUACCAUCUUGGCGACACACGCUCUGCGGUGCGGUGAGAUUUGUGUUCUGUGUCCAGUGGUGCAAAUAUACACACACACGCUCUUGGCUACACACGCAAUACGGCGCGGUUGGCUUGGCAGAAGCGCAUACACACAUUCACGCAGUAGGCUUUACUUUCAGUCCAGUGAGGUUGGUGCUUGUGUGGUGUUUCAGCGCUUGGUAGUCAGCGGAUAAACCCCGUGAAAAAUGGAGAUUUAUCUGAUUUAAGGUAAGUAAAAGUGAUUAAAAUUAUCAACCAACAUCCCCCCUUCUAAUUAAUAUCAUUUUUCUUCCAUUUCAUGUGUGUUUCACGACGAACGGAGACAACAAAACCUGUGGCUGUGUCGUAGUGUUGGCGUAUUUGGCCCGUACAGUGUAGUUAAAGGAACUAGGCGCAACAGUGAGGAAGAGCAGAAAGUGUUGUGACGAUUUUGUGAUUUUAUUCACUGUGCGAGUGUGAAAGGGUGUUUUAAAAUAAUGUGCGUUAAUGUGAAAUUAUGUUCAGUGUUCGUAGUGCAUGUGUUUUUGAUUUUUGUAAAACUUGUUAGAUAAAUGAUAUUAAUUUCAAUAAAUAGAUUUGUUGUGAUAUAAUUCUGUGCACUGUAUCAUUUCGGAAAGAAAUCCUGGCAAAAAAGAGGGAGGGAACUAAUUAAACGAAGGUUCGUGCAGACCCCCGUUCGGGUUUUGCUUCGGCUUCGGGUUUGCUUCGGCUUCGGGAGCCGACAAAUCACUUGAAUAAUUUCGCCAACUCAAGUUCUUUUUCAAGCGCGUAUUCAAGCGAUCUCUGAGUGCUGGUGCCCGGUGGGCAGCGCACGAAGGGGGUUCGGUUUCAACUUCCAACAACAACAACCACACGAGGGAGCUCGUGGAUACUCACGAAGGGAAAAUCACUCAAAUUAGAGCGAGAGACAGAUAGAAAAAACGAAAGGUCAAUAUAAAAUCUUCGGCUUUUGACUGUUCCCAACCAACCAAACCGAGCUCUUUCGAAGCAAAUCCUUCGUGAUGAGCGAGAAAGCAUGUCACGCAUCUCACGUGUUGCCAUGCGAACAGAUGUGCGUGUAGAUGUGUGAGUGCGCGGAGAAAAAUUGAUGGAUGACGAAUGGAGGAAGGGGAGGAGCUUCACUCUGUCGAAGCAUCUGAAGGGGGGCCGAACGCUCUCUUCACAUUUUGCGAAGAAUCAGUUUAACUCAAACGCUUGGCAAAGAGGAUAUACUACUUUGAGGCACUAAAUAUUUCAGGCAAUGGAGUCUUGGUCUAUUAGUAUUAGUAUAAAUUAUUUCCCUUACCCCAUUUAUGAAUUAAUUUAAAGGAAUAAACAUUAAUCUGAGUAAAAUUUCAAAAGUCACUUUUAGCAAAAAACUUUUUCCAAAUGUGUUUUGAAAUUCUGAAUCGAUCUUGUAAAGACGGUUUUUUCAUACAAUGCGUACUUUUUAAGAUAUUUGGAAAAGUACGGUUCAUAGGGUGCGCGGAUGAUAUACUAGCAAUGCUAUUACAAUGAAAUGCUAUUCCGCUCUAUGAAAUUUUCAGCUGAGCGAUUUGGUCUGUUUACGUUAGAACCGCUCCAUUAUUAUUGCGCCUUUUACGUCCUCACGCGCGAAUUCACAAAUAGUUAAAGUGUUAGGCCCGCUUGUGAUGAACAGUAGAUUCACCUGCUACCAUGUUUCAAUUCUCUGAUUAAAUCGCACGUAAUAAAUAAAUCGAAUAUCUCUCCUUCCAAUUUCAAUUAAAAACACAUAACCACUGCACAUAAGGUAGGAAGAUAGAUGAGAGGAGGAGGAGGAGGAGGGGCUAUAAACACGUACGUAAAUAAAAGGGGGCAGGGCGCGCGUGUGAGCGAGAAAGCGGCAUCAUACGAGAGAUUUUUUUCUUUCUCUUUUGUAGCAUUUUGGCUAAACACCCGAGCCUAACUUCGGUAGGAACUGCCUAUCAAAGUUGAUACACCUUCGGUAGAGAACUUCUAUCGAAGGUAUAUCGAAGCAAAUUUACUUCGAAAGAGCACGGUUUGGUUGGUUGGGUUGGGGAGCGUGUCCAACGGUUACGACGAACGGCCGAACCGUUCUUAGCUAACACACACGUACACACGUUCGCUUAACGGUGUCGUACGGUCUGUUUACGUGGUGCAGUCCUCUUCUAUGGUGCAGCGUUGAUAUGCCUACUCAUUGGCAUAUAACUAUAGAGUUCUGAAAAAAAUAACAUACUGUAGUACCCUGGAGAUUUGACCCCUAAUUAGACCAUAGUGCCGGAUCGGAAUAUAACCAUCACCGCACAACUGUGCGAUAAUCCGAAUGUCAAAAAUAAAGAUUAUUCGUUUACGGAUCGUUGUACUGACAACACCUUCAGCCUUCUGUUAAUUCUUCUGCCUUGCGAUUUUGUGCCUUUUAUAAGUUCAACGUUUAGUUCAAAUUAGUAAAAUUCGAGGUUUAAAAUACCAAUUGUUAUAAAUAUACAUGGAAAGAUUUCAUUGUAUUUUUACAUACCUUUAGAUGUUAAACUAUCAUUUUCUGUAAUCAAACAUUUUGUUUUUAAUCAAAUUACACUUACAAAAACUAAACAAUACACACCUGUUGGUAAUUCUAUGAACCGUGCGUUGUCUACGUAAUUGCACACAAACACACACACACACACACACACACACACACACACACACACACACACACACACACACACACACACACACACACACACACACACACACACACACACACACACACACACACACACACACACACACACACACACACACACACACACACACACACACACACACACACUCACACACUCACACACACACACACACACACACACACACACUCACACACACAGACACACACACACACACAAACAAACAAACAAACACACACACUCACACACACACACACACACACACAAACAAACACAAACACAAACACACACACACACACACACACACACACACACACUCACACUCACACACUCACACUCACACACACACAAACACAUACACACACACACACACUCACACACACACCUUAACACGUUGUCUGCCACGUCAGCCACUAUGUGGCUGACGGGUUUUUUCCGAUCGGGCCAC
Long non-coding RNA from Anopheles coluzzii, 5652 nucleotides. RefSeq lists it as uncharacterized. Lineage: Eukaryota; Metazoa; Arthropoda; Insecta; Diptera; Culicidae. The transcript is spliced from 2 exons. The record is from RefSeq and is a predicted model, not a curated record.